Long non-coding RNA from Alligator mississippiensis (American alligator), 3757 nucleotides. RefSeq lists it as uncharacterized. The record is from RefSeq and is a predicted model, not a curated record. NCBI's taxonomy places the organism in Eukaryota, Metazoa, Chordata, Crocodylia, Alligatoridae. The transcript has 3 exons.
CCAUGCCAAUUAAAGCUGGACCAAAACCAACUGUGAAAUCAUUACACAUUCUCCAGCAAUAACUUCCUAGCCAAACGGACCUUGUUUUAAGACACCAGCAUUAAAAUGCAUGCGUAGCCGGCCUAAAUGAAUUGCACCGUUACCCAGGCAACGCGCAAUACAUGUAACGGCGCAACACACAGAGCAGGGUCGCAGGGACCAAAGGAGCAGGUUCUCCUGCCUGCAGAGGGCAUCACAGCGGCUGUCUGGACUCUUAAGUCAAGUCCCAUUGCACUGGAUCCCUGGAGGGCUGCCCCAAGCCUUGCUCUCAGCUGUCCCUCUGAAGCCACAAAACCGGGGGGAGGAGGAGGAUCCACUGAUUCCCUCCCCUUUUGGCAGGCUUUUCAGCAGGUUCAUAGCAAAGUAGGGCCGGAAAGGACCUCGUGAGGCCCUGCUCCCGUGACAACAUCCUGACUAACCCGGGUUGGUACCAAGCUUGACGACUUCUUGCUGCCUCAGCACGGUAUUGUCAUAUUUUCAGUUGCUCCUGAUCACUAAGCUGCUCCCGCUGCAGAACUUUGCUGCUGCUCUCGUCGAUGUUCCUCUGCAGACUGUCUUGAACGUCGCUGACGAUGAUAAGAAGCAUUUUGUUCACAUUCCCCCUCCAAUUGUCUUGCACAUAGGUGACGCUGAUAUGAUGCAUUCUGCUCUACAUAGUCGGUUGGGUUUUUUGCAUGUUGUCAUUCCUGUUGCUGUUGUUGUUGCUGUCUUUGUAAGGCUCGACAUUCGUCCAUUAGGUGUGGUUUUUGUUGCUGGUGUUUCUUUUGUGGAUCCUAGCUGCUUUUCUCACUGUUAUAUUGGGGUCAUAGGCGAUCGUUUCCUCUUGCGCACAUUGAAAUUCUGCCGAGUUCCCAAUGUUAUGUUGAGAUCUGGAUCGCAAUAAGCAGCUGUACGUUGCUGUCAUGUCCUCUCAUUCCUACUCCGUAUUUUUGUCACAUAUCGUACUUGACUUCUUGUCUUCGUUGCAUUGAAUGACAAACUGACAGACAAUACCAAAGGAUGCGAAUGGCCGAAUGUGGCUUAUAUACAGUAGGACUUGAGAGCCCAGAAUGAACCCGACAUGGCUAUGCCCUGCUAAAACAUUCAGUACUGUAAUGGCCUGAAGGGUAAUGCUGCAUGUAAGCCUGGCCAGCAGGCAGCACCUCACCCACGCACACACAUCAGUGAACUUGGUUCUCUCACCCAACUCCCUCCUUGAACACUUUCAUCUGUCACAGUGAGGCUUCAUACUUACUAAUGGAGAUGGCACGCAAUACGCGUAAUAGUAUAGAUUACAUAUACACACGCGUGCACAAGCAUAGCACAAGCUUUCUGUUGGAUGUGGUCCAUAACAUGAGAUCCCUCCUGAGCAUGUGUGCACUGAUUAGAGGUGGGCAGGUUCUAGAAUAGCUAGACUUUCCACCUUCAUGAUGUCAGUGACCCACUUACACCUGGGGAGCAUGCACAGUAGCUUGUGUGGUCCAGUAGAGCAGUGCUUCUCAAACUAUCUGAAGUGGCAGACUGGCAAAUUUUUUUCCAUUGAGCCAGGGACCGGUGCCCAAUUCAGCCAGUGGCAGCAACUGCAUGUAACAGUGCUAUACAACUGUGCGACCGGCUGUUUCUCUUUCCUCACCUCACAUGACAUGACGUCACCUGGAGUGUUGGAACGUACGAACUGUGGCACUAUGACAUAUCAAUGUUAUGCUUCUGAAAUAUUUCUUUCCUGGCAACUCGCUGCAGACCAGCGAAUAUAUUUCUUUCUUUCCUAGCAACUCGCUGAAGACCAGCGACCGGUGGCUCGUGAACCAGCACUGGUCCACAGACCAGCACUUUGAGAAGCACUGCAAUAGAGCACCAUGUGCUACACCUGAGUGCCGAGAGCACCAUAGUAGGGUGUCGUGUGCACAGGAGUAUGAUUGGUGAGAAGAAUGACUGACACAUGGUGUGAUUUUGGUGAGUAUUUAAGGAAUCCUGAGGUGUGAUUCAGCAUGCGAAUGGAAUAUGGAGGCUUGAGAGUACUUAAGGUUUGAAUGGUCUGUGAGCUUACUUGGAUGGUGAUCAUACCCGCGUGUCUUAGGUGUACGAGCAGGACUGCAGCAGUGUGAGAGAGAGGGGUGACCUAUCAGAUCGGAUUAUAAUCGGAUACUUACCUGAAAAAGUGUUAUUGGAUCGGGACCUCGAUCAUCCAUUGGACUGGUAAUUAUCACUCUUCCCUCACUCUUGGUCCGAGUACCCUCUGAGGGAAAGCACUGAGGGCCUGGCUGUCACUCCAGCUCAGGGAGCCUGUGAAGGCCCUUGGCUGUCCCCUGGCAGCUCUGUUUAUGGCGCAUUUCAGUUAACCAGUAUAUAUAGUUCAUGCUUGAUGUUAUGUACAUUUCCUACUGUUAAUCUUGUUUUUGUUGUGAUCAUGAAUUUCUAAUAUACUUGUGAACUUUAUUGGAGCCUUGGUGUAUUUAUAGGGUAAAUGAGGGCGGGCUGUAGCUCUAUGUAUAUCCCUGACCCCAAAAUCCACCUCUAACAGAGAUAACACACGAAAGGCGCUUUCUGAGGAGGCCUAACAACCCUCCGCCCCUUAGAUUUCUCAUAGGUGGUCAGUGUCCAGGACAACCCGGCACUGUCCGCCUUUCAUUUUGAGAGUAGAACUCAUUUCAUCAGGUAUUGUCAAAGCCAUCUGAUGAAGUGAGUGUCAGCUUAUGAAAACUUGUACUAUAUAUAUAAUCUACUUUAAUUUCCCUGAAUCUACCCUGCCUUCUACUAAGCUUUAUCAGACCAUUGCAACUGGUAACAUGUAAGUUUGGAUUCCCUUGUUGCUGAUGGAAUCCAAGACAUGCUGCUUUUCAUAUAGUUGUAACCAAAUUUAACUCUUUUUUUGCCCAUGAACAGCAGUGGUGUAGGAAGGAAUAGUCUUGGAUUUCUUUUCUGUUUAGUUUUGGAUUUUUCUCUUUUCCUUACUUUCUCCGUCCCCCACUUUUUGGUCUGAAGCAAUUCAUAUAAAAUUGUACUAUGCAUUAUGUAAUGAAUUGGAGAUGUAUAAAUUGUAUUUUGUGGUUUUUGUUAUGUUUUAAAUUUAUAAGUGAUAUACCAUGCUUUGCAUUACACCGUGUCUUUUAAGCUUGUUCUGUAUUAUUAGAUUAUAGUUUGCAAAUACUGUAUUCUCUGUAAGACUACUCACACCUUAGCUGAUCACCCAGUGAAUGGAAGUAUGAAGGAAAGUAUGAAUGGGAAUUGAUAGCACUGCUGUAGACAAAGGGGAUUUCCCUUACUUGCAAGCUAAUGAGAUCAAGGGUGUUCCUGAAACAUUGGCCCGGACAGAGGCUGUAGCAGACUUAAUCAUGAACAGACAAACUGAGACCAGAAUUGCUACCUACGUGCCAGAGGGCAUGAAGUGAUUUGCCCCACCCAAUUGGGCAGCCGAUCACUAGGGCACCACAGAAGUCUGCCAUACAGGUAUAAAGUGCAGUGAAAAGUGAGUCCUGGCGGCACCCCUUUUAUCCAGCACCCAACCUACCAUACCAGAAGGAUGAAACCGGUGACCCCCUUCUGGAGAUAACACCACCUCAGAGAAGCUUUGACCGGCCAUCAACAGCAGACCCGCAGUACCUCGGAUAGGUAAUAAUCUACAUUGAUACUCCACUGUUGCUGCAGAAGCUGUGCAUCUGCAUGUGCGUUACCUUGGGGCUGAUCAGCUAAUAUCAGAUCUUUACUUUCUGUUUAAUAAAUUUGAAUUACUAAGACCUCA